AAGUCGUAACAAGGUUUCCGUAGGUGAACCUGCGGAAGGAUCAUUAACACGUAUCCACGUUUAAUAUAACAACUUAUCAACACCCAGAAGAACUGAACUCCCUGCUGACUAACUGAGGCGUCGUAAUCAUGUUUUUGAUGGGUCCCCUCGGGCGUGAGUCUUCGAGACUAGCGUCACGGGGCAAGGGCUGGCAUGCGUCGACUAGUAUACCUCGAGUAUACGCCAAAACCGGUUUAGCAGGCUUACUGACUCUAUUCUCGCGUGGGAGUCAAAUCCCAAUCCUUACCAUCAUUAGGCCGAGUCUAGAACCCCAUACCUAUUUCACCCUAUUUUACCUAUUUGACUAAUUUCUAUAUUCUUAGGAGAAAUCCUUUGAAUGACUAAGAUUUUAUCUUAACUAAGCACAACUCUUAGCAAUGGAUAUCUUGGUUCUC
This 434-nucleotide unclassified non-coding RNA is filed under the name fungal sp. RNAcentral describes it as "partial internal transcribed spacer region". The stretch from base 1 to 46 matches the Rfam family "Eukaryotic small subunit ribosomal RNA", at positions 1786 to 1831 of the family's 1831-position model. Lineage: Eukaryota; Fungi. The record is from RNAcentral.